AGCGAACGCUGGCGGUAGGCCUAACACAUGCAAGUCGAACGGCAGCACAGUAAGAGCUUGCUCUUACGGGUGGCGAGUGGCGGACGGGUGAGGAAUACAUCGGAAUCUACUUUUUCGUGGGGGAUAACGUAGGGAAACUUACGCUAAUACCGCAUACGACCUACGGGUGAAAGCAGGGGAUCUUCGGACCUUGCGCGAUUGAAUGAGCCGAUGUCGGAUUAGCUAGUUGGCGGGGUAAAGGCCCACCAGGGCGACGAUCCGUAGCUGGUCUGAGAGGAUGAUCAGCCACACUGGAACUGAGACACGGUCCAGACUCCUACGGGAGGCAGCAGUGGGGAAUAUUGGACAAUGGGCGCAAGCCUGAUCCAGCCAUACCGCGUGGGUGAAGAAGGCCUUCGGGUUGUAAAGCCCUUUUGUUGGGAAAGAAAAGCAGCAGGUUAAUACCCCGCUGUUCUGACGGUACCCAAAGAAUAAGCACCGGCUAACUUCGUG
Molecule: ribosomal RNA, 492 nt
Filed under: uncultured bacterium
Lineage: Bacteria
Description: partial 16S ribosomal RNA
Rfam family: Bacterial small subunit ribosomal RNA
Source: RNAcentral